RNAcentral lists this ribosomal RNA (1332 nucleotides) under uncultured bacterium. RNAcentral describes it as "bacterial SSU rRNA". It matches the Rfam family "Bacterial small subunit ribosomal RNA". The record is from RNAcentral.
AGAGUUUGAUCAUGGCUCAGAACGUACGCUGGCGGCACGCCUAACACAUGCAAGUCGAACGAAGUAGCAAUACUUAGUGGCAGACGGGUGAGUAACAUGUGGGUAUCUGCCCUUUGGCCUGGAAUAACACGAGGAAACUUGUGCUAAUACCGGAUAAGUCUUUACGGAGAAAGCUUUAUGCACCAUUGGAUGAGCCCGCACUUGAUUAGUUUGUUGGUGGGGUAAUGGCCUACCAAGACUUUGAUCAAUAGCUGAUUUGAGAGGAUGAUCAGCCACAUUGGGACUGAGACACGGCCCAAACUCCUACGGGAGGCAGCAGUGGGGAAUCUUGCACAAUGGAGGAAACCCUGAUGCGGCGAUGCCGCGUGAGUGAAGAAGGCCCUUGGGUUGUAAAGCUCUUUCGUCGGGGAAGAAAAUGACUGUACCCGAAUAAGAAGGUCCGGCUAACUUCGUGCCAGCAGCCGCGGUAAUACGAAGGGACCUAGCGUAGUUCGGAAUUACUGGGCUUAAAGAGUUCGUAGGUGGUUGAAAAAGUUGGUGGUGAAAUCCCAGAGCUUAACUCUGGAACUGCCAUCAAAACUUUUCAGCUAGAGUUUGAUAGAGGAAAGCAGAAUUUCUAGUGUAGAGGUGAAAUUCGUAGAUAUUAGAAAGAAUACCAAUUGCGAAGGCAGCUUUCUGGAUCAUUACUGACACUGAGGAACGAAAGCAUGGGUAGCGAAGAGGAUUAGAUACCCUCGUAGUCCAUGCUGUAAACGAUGUGUGUUAGACGUUGGAAAUUUAUUUUCAGUGUCGCAGCGAAAGCGAUAAACACACCGCCUGGGGAGUACGACCGCAAGGUUAAAACUCAAAUGAAUUGACGGGGACCCGCACAAGUAGUGGAGCAUGUGGUUUAAUUCGAAGAUACGCGCAGAACCUUACCAACACUUGACAUGUUCGUCGCGACUUUAAGAGAUUAAAGUUUUCGGUUCGGCCGGACGAAACACAGGUGCUGCAUGGCUGUCGUCAGCUCGUGUCGUGAGAUGUUGGGUUAAGUCCCGCAACGAGCGCAACCCUCACUUUUAGUUGCCAUCAUUAAGUUGGGCACUCUGAAAGAACUGCCAGUGAUAAGCUGGAGGAAGGUGGGGAUGACGUCAAGUCCUCAUGGCCCUUACGUGUUGGGCUACACACGUGCUACAAUGGUAUCUACAACAGGAAGCAAAACAGCGAUGUUAAGCAAAUCCUUAAAAGAUACCUCAGUUCGGAUUGCACUCUGCAACUCGAGUGCAUGAAGCUGGAAUUACUAGUAAUCGUGGAUCAGCGUGCCACGGUGAAUGCGUUCCCGGGUCUUGUAGA